AUGGCUCAGGACAAUACUAAAUUGUGUGAAUUUUCCAAUAACAACAACAAUGAUUUUCUUAGCACCCCAGUUGCUCCUAUUACCGAUGCUGAAUCUUGCAAAAUUAAUGCUCCUUUGUUGAAUCUUGUCAUGAAAGAUCAAUUCUCUGGCCUUCCUAGUGAAGAUGUCGUUACACAUCUAAACAACUUUGUUGAUUUGUGUGAUAUGCAAAAGAAGAGAGAUGUGGACAAUGAUAUUGUUAAAUUGAAGUUAUUCCUGUUUUCGCAUAGAGAUCGUGCUAAAAUUUGGUUCACUUCUUUGCCUAAAAAUAGUAUUGAUUCAUGGAAUAAGUGCAAAGAUGCUCUUAUCUCUAAGUAUUUUCCUCCCGCUAAGAUCAUCUCUCUUAGAAACGAUAUUAUGAAUUCUAAGCAACUUGAUCAUGAACAUGUUGCACAAGCUUGGGAGAGGAUGAAAUUAAUGAUACGUAAUUGCCCUACACAUGGUUUGAAUUUAUGGAUGAUUAUACAAAAAAAUUAUGCUGGACUGAAUUUUGCUUCUAGAAACUUUUUAGAUUCGGCCGCGGGAGGCACUUUUAUGGAAAUCACUUUAGGAGAAGCUACUAAACUCCAAGAUAAUAUUAUGGUUAAUUAUUCUCAAUGGCACACCGAAAGAUCCACUAGUAAAAAGGUUCAUGCAAUUGAAGAGAUUAAUGUUUUGAGUGGAAAGAUGGAUGAACUUAUGAAGUUGUCUGCUAGUAAGAGUGUUUCUUCUGAUCCUAAUGAUAUGCCCUUGUCCACUUUUAUUGAGAGUAAUAAUGAAUCUAUGGAUGUGAAUUUUGUUGGUAGGAACAAUUUUGGUAACAACGCAUAUAGAGGAAACUUUAAUUCCAGGUAG
RNAcentral lists this ribosomal RNA (873 nucleotides) under Triticum aestivum (bread wheat). RNAcentral's name for it is "partial small subunit ribosomal RNA". The record is from RNAcentral. Lineage: Eukaryota; Viridiplantae; Streptophyta; Magnoliopsida; Poales; Poaceae.